Molecule: ribosomal RNA, 253 nt
Filed under: uncultured bacterium
Lineage: Bacteria
Description: partial 16S ribosomal RNA
Rfam family: Bacterial small subunit ribosomal RNA
Source: RNAcentral
UACGUAGGCACCAAACGUUGUUCGGAAUUACUGGGCGUAAAGCGUCUGUAGGUGGUCAAAUAAGUCAACUGUUAAAUCUUGAGGCUCAACCUCAAAAUCGCAGUCGAAACUAUUAGACUAGAGUAUAGUAGGGGUAAAGGGAAUUUCCAGUGGAGCGGUGAAAUGCGUAGAGAUUGGAAAGAACACCGAUGGCGAAGGCACUUUACUGGGCUAUUACUAACACUGAGAGACGAAAGCUAGGGUAGCAAAUGGG